GGGGUCACCCAGCAGGGAGUGUGGUGAGGGGAGAUAGGCCUCCAUACCUUGGAGGGCCUGAGAUGUUCCCAGAGGGGUGGAGCCUAAGACCCAACCUGACAUUUAGACACAGACAAACAGAGUCUGACCCUUGACCCUGAGCGUGGAGGAGGUCAGACCAUGUCGGUGUGUCCGAACACAUGCUGGUGGCCAGGUUGGAACUGCUGCGUCCAGUCAAUGAUGACCGGUUUGAAGAGUCCACAACAGCGGAGCUGGAAGAACGACACCAGUUGCUCUGAUGAAGCCGGGGUCCGUCCUGCAGGUGCGGAGGUAGUAGUAGAGUAAAGCAGUGGCAUUCAGAGUGAACAGUACCUGUACUGUGGCACUAGGCUGAUGUGGAGUUUCAAGUUAAGAAGGUCUCUGUUCAGUUUGUCAUCA
Long non-coding RNA from Neolamprologus brichardi, 417 nucleotides. RefSeq lists it as uncharacterized. The record is from RefSeq and is a predicted model, not a curated record. NCBI's taxonomy places the organism in Eukaryota, Metazoa, Chordata, Actinopteri, Cichliformes, Cichlidae.